CUAGUAACUCCAGGUAGCAGCAAACCUCAGUUCUUAAAACUAAUUCAUGUCUGCAUUACUGUCUUUCUGUCCCUUUGCAAAAACCUGUAGCUUUGCCGAAUUGUUACUUAAUUCUAAGCCAUUUUUUUUUCCUUUAAAAACCUUCAUAGGCGGUUAACUGAAAAGAAGACACUAAACCAGGCAUUUCUGUGCUUCUGAGGAGUUUCAUGUAGAAUAGUGAAGGGGAAGGGAUUCUGGCUCUUCAGGACAUACACACACACACACACACUCUCUCUCACACUCACUCGUGUUUAUAGCAGUCUGUGGGAACCUGUUGAACAGGAGUAAAAAGUAUUACUUGAUUAUGCCGUGGUCAGAAAAUUAAAUAAUGAAGCGUUACUUGCUACAGAUCAACCUUUAGCCCCUUGCUCUGCUCUCCUGGCUGACUGCUUAUCAUUCCACGCCAGCCGCAGCAGCUCCCGGGCUGCAGGCAGGCCUGCUGGAGUACCCCACCCUGGUGUUUAGAAGUGUUGAGUUAAACUCAGGGAAUCUGAAAGUCCCAAGGUCAUCUCUGCACCAGAACAGGUUUGCAUAAAAUUCUAGCCACACCAGUGAGAUAACGAGGUGGCGACUGUUUGAAUCUGAUCCUGCCUUAGUGGUUAUCCCAUUUUACAAUAAUACAUGAUACAGAUUUGCUUUUCAGAUUUCUUUCCUUCUUCGAGGAGGGAACCUCCAUGUACGUGUGUACUUCUGUGUCUUCCCUGCUGUCAAAGAAAACCGAUCUGGCAGAGGAAUUUGAGCACCGUGGCUCUAAGACGCUGUCAGGAAAGCACGGAGGAUUGUUCGCGGCGGUCCCGGUCCAAAGGCAGAGCCUGCUGGCGGCUACGCCGGCCGCCGUGCAGUGCGGGCAGCGGAGCCCGCGCCCCCAGCGCCGCCGGGAGAGCCAGGGGAGGCGCCGCCGCAAACAGUGGUGUCGGGUUACAGCCUCGGAGCCGCGCCGAGCGCGCCUAACUGGCUUGAUCGAGUGACUGGCUUCAUAAUUACAUUGCUGAUUUGUUAGGGAAGGCUUUGUCUUACUUACCAAUUAGCAUGGAUGUUACUGCAGGGACCUCAUCCUGGAUGAGCUUGGGUUUUUCUUAAAAAAAAAAAAAAAAAAGCUUCCCCGAUCCGGGCAGCUUUAGGGGUUCAGUUGCUAACCCUCCCUUGUCUUCUGGGAGUCCUCACCCUGUCUGUAAACACGCAGAGGCUUUCUCCCCUUUGGAAUUUUGCCCGUGUUUCUGGCAUUCCCGCGGCCAGAGGCAGCCACUUUGGGGUCUGCAGGCGGCCUGUGGGAGUGCUGACCCCACACCGCCUCCUGGAGGCUCAUCACCCCCGUUUUUUUUGGGGGGGGCAGCUGCACCGGCCACAGCGCAUAGCUCACCCCCGCUGGCAGACCCUUACAGGCACCCCCCUUUCUGUCAGCCCUCUCCCAGAUGUGCCAGCACCACCACCUACCGUGUCCCUGCAGGGUGGCCUUUCUGUUCUCCUGGUGGGUUCUGUUGUUAUUUGGGGGAGGGAGGGUGUUAAAAGCAUAGGCGUUAUCAGAUUUGUGAGUCCUGGGUGUUUUUUAAGAUGUAAUAUUUUCACAGUGUGGAAAGUUGUCUGAGCGAACCUGGCUCCCCUGAGUGGAAGGGGGAGGGGCCUUUCCUUCCUGCCUGGGAGCUGCUGUGUGACCGCCAGACAGGAGAGCCAUGUCUCAGAGUUCGCCCACAGCUGGUGGGAGAUGUCCAGGUCACCACCUCAAAAGCAGGAUCCAGAGCACAUUAUCGUAAGGCAGGUGUACAGGAUGAGGAGAGGAGAGAUUGAGAAUACUCUGUGUUUCAGAAGUUGUCUCACCAGCAUUUCUGGCCAGCCUCUCUUCUGCUUUUGGAAGGCUGUCACCCACUCAGUGGUUUUGCCAUGGGGCACUCCUUUCUUCUUGCACUGCCCCCAAAAGAAACUGAAAGAAUGUGUGUGUUUGCACUUAAAGGACUUUGGGUUUGGAGGCUCAGGAUGUCAGAGUGAGGAAGUAGCCUCUGCUAGCCUCUUUGAAGACACUCUGUCACACAUCUUAGCUUCUUUUCUUUUCAAACCAGGUAGAUCCAUACGGAAAAAUCAUCAUUCUGAAUCAUUGGCAUUGCCAUAAAUGCCUCGUUUUUAUGAUUUUUAGUGUCAGUGUGGGCACAUCUGGACUUUUCAGCAACCAGCAGUCACACCAGUGAUCACACCGGAUGGUGUACUUGAGGAGAUUGGGGACCCCUUGGAUUAGGAGCCUUUAACUUGAGAGCUGUUAAUUAACUAGUGACACAGGCAUAGGGAAACGCGCACAGGUCCUAAGUGUGCAGGCCAGUGACUCAUCCCAAAGCAGGCACCCGGGAGCCAAGGGCCCCACUACUAACACCCUUCCCCCACGGCAGACACCAGGGCUGAGUUCUGCCUUGUUAACUGCCUGCUGAGACAACACAGCACUUCAAUCCUGAAGCCUGCUACACUCCUGAGAGGGGAAAGCCCUGGAUUUCUAGUUGUCACUCACUAGUCCAAAAGGAAAUUGGAACAAGCUCUUGAAAAUAUACACAAGAUACAAACCAUCAUGCCUUGAGGUGUUUUGGAGUAGUGGCUUUCGGGAUCUCCCGUCUGCCCCACCUCUGUGUGCGGACAGGCAUCCCUCCACCUGAGUGGAUGAGCUGAGCUGGGAGUCAUUUCCAUUCCCUCCACUUGCCUCCCCUCUUAGCUGCCUCUUUGAUCAUGUGGUCAGUCAUACCUUUCCCCAGUCAUUUCCUCCCUUCAGAAACUGGGACUAAGCUACCCAUUUUGACCUUCUUUUACGCCUUUUGGAGCAUUAAUUCCCUUGGACACUGAGUAGGGUGAGGUAAAGGGUUUUCCUUCUCUCUGGGGUGAUAGCUAUUUGGGGGCAUGAACUGAGAAAGCAAAAUGCAGUCUUUUGCAUCUUUUUUUGACCCGCGCUGAGUCAGAAAGCCAGCCCUCGUGGUGAGCAGAGAAGGGCUCCCAGUGUGGGCCUCUCACAAGCCCCAGUGGAGAUGCUGCUCGUACAGGCCACACAGCCCCUCCAUGCAUGUGUCUGUCAGUGGCCACCGGGCUCUGGGCCUCUAGGAAGCACGUGUGGCCACAGAGGGCUGCACGUUAAAGCAGUGGGUUUCGUUGUUGUUAGUGGGAAUGUUAGAAGCGGUGCUUUGCAAAAGUAGAUUUAAUAUGCUUAAUUUUAAAAUUAUAACAUUUAUGUUGACAGUUCAAAUAACAUUAAAGGAGAGUGAGUUUUAAAAAUUUUUCCAAGGCAUAGCUUUUAAAUAAUUGAAAAACAUUGAGUUUAAGAGAACUUUUUUGAUUGAUUGGUUUUAUGGGGGUUUUUUUUUUUUUUUGAUGUUGUAUUUUUUCCCUUAAUGCUUUAAAAAUGUAGAAGCUAUGAAAUGCUCUCUUGUAACACAUAGGUACUAUUUUAGUUUCUCUUUGGACAUUGGGCAUAAGGCCUCACUGCCAUUCACUCUGUGAUCACAGCAAGAAGAAUCUAGGCCCCAGUGAGCGGGUGGGAUCUGAUAUACCAGUCUGAGAAGCUGAGCUUUAUCAUUAAAAUUGAGCUGAAGACAUCUUAAUUCUGCAUGUAGUCUUUCUUUUUUAAUGUCAGUUGCCAUCACAAAAACAUUGCUCAUUCUUUUUUCCUUACCUGCUUAGGCACAAAUAGGGAAGCCCUUCGGACUCAAAUUUGAAUAAAGAUAUUCUCAGGCUUAAAUAUGAAAUAGCCGGAUGGGGAAAAAAGGAAGUUGUAGUUCUUGAAAUGAGGUCCCCAUUUCAAAUGAGGUCCUGGAAACUUGGAAAUGCAGAUCUUGGGCCUCCACACCAGACGGACUGAAUGAGAAUCUGGGAUUGUUGGGGGUGGCAUCAUUCUGUGUUAACUAGCCCCAGCAGCGCGUCUGAUGCUCACCCAGGUUUGAGAACUGAAGAUUGAGAGAAGCAUCCCUGCCCAAACUGUGUGCCUCGGGUCCUGACACAUCUCCUUACCCAGGGCCUGCCCUGUACAGCUGUGCCCUCUGAGGUUCGUUCAGCCCUCGCCGUCGUCAUACCCUCCCUCCCAUGCCAAGUUUACACUGAGAGGCAGAGACACACAUCUCUGUCUUUGUUUUGCAGUCCUUCUCUGGCUGUCCCCUUGGUGUCUUUUCUCAUUCCUUCCAUUUACUAUUUAUCCAGUGACUGUUUCUGGAGCAUCUUCUAUGUGUCAGGGACUGCCUUAUCCUGAGGAUAUAGAGAUGAAAGGAACAGGCUGAAACCUUCAGAGAGCUUACCAUCUGGGGUGGGAAACAGACUGAGAGACAAUCCUGCCUUCAAUAUAAACCUCAAAUCCUAUCUCCAGAAGUCCCCUGGUCACCCCGUCUGUACUGAUCUCUUAGACUCCUUACUGUGGGAGUCAUUCAGAAUCUGGAAUUGCAAACCUCCAAGUAGGUAAUAUGUUUCUCCUGCUUCUCUGGUUCUUUCUCUUCUGAGGACUCUCCUAGUGACAUGUUACUUUUUUGAUCAACUGCCCAAGCAUAUUAUAGCUUUUGAGGGCAGGGUCCUCCGUAAUGAAAGCAGCACAAUUGAAAGCCAGGUUUCUUAUCUGGAGAGUUUUAUUCGCUAGUAAACUUCCUGGAAAACUCCAGCAGAGAAGUGUUCAUUUGUAGGGCUACCCAUGAGUUUUGUUCUCUGUUUUCAAAACUUAGAUUGCUGCAGUUCAUACUUGCCAAAAGUUAUGUUAAGUAAAUCAGAAUGCCAGGAGUUUGUUUCUAACAAGGUUAUUGGGGAGGGAGGGUGUUUUAUCUCGAACCUUAUAUUAAGAGCCAAUGAAUAUUCAAUAGAAGAGUGGCUGUGGUUAGUUUUAGGCCCCUCUGGGUGAGCAGGGAAGGGAGGGAGCACCCACCUCACUCCUCCACUUGGGGGUCUCUAACCAGCUCUAAAAGCUCAGGGUCCCUUUUGGGCCUUUGACCGAAAGAUUCGAUAGAAGACAUGGGCUUUGGGCCUGGGUCUUCACAAGCCAAGGGAGGGGGCGGAGUGGGGUGCCAUCCCUGGGGGUGGCUUGGAAACUGACUUGUCACAAGCCCCUCCUGUCGGUGAACUACAGACUACCGUCCUGUGUCCCGUUCCACCGCCAAGGGGCCUCUCAGGCAGGAACAGCAGACACCCCCCUCCUGUUACCUUGAAGCCCUUAAUGAGAUCCAGCUACUGCUCCAUCUUCACGCUGCAGCCAAGUGAGGCCUUUUAAAACGUCACGUGCCUCUCCAGUGGCCUGAAGAGCUGUUGCGGUUGUCGUAGAGUGCCCCAGGAAAAGGCUUUGGGCAUCCUGGCCCUCAGGUUCUUGAGAGGCUUGUCUUUCCUUUGAAUUGUGCCUGCUCCAGCAUGUGGCAUUCACACAGCACCAAGCGAGGGUCCUUCUCACCUCCCUCCCACUUCUAGGAGCUGGAGGCCUCUUCUGAAAGUGGGCAGACAGGACUCUCAACCGUGUGUUAAGCAAACUUGGGGAAAACUUUAAUUUUUUACAAAUUUUAAAUUUAAAAAAAUUCUUUUAAUGUUAACGUUCUAAGUAAGAAUGUGGAUUAGAUUUUAUUGUGUUGUUUUUUACUCCUUUCUGCAAAAAAUGUAGCUAGAAUUCAGAUUACAAAUCAGGAUUGUGUGCAUUUUGCAAUCUUACUGGGUGUGUAGAGCAGGCUUGCCUCAUAAAAUGAAAUAGAAAAAUGAAGGCAAACCUGCUUUGAGGCGCACUCUGUCAUGGGUCCUUAUUUACACCUUUGAGAAGCAUCCAAGAUUCGAUUCGUCUCGCCUGUUCCUGCCCAUGGAUCUUGCUUACACAGGCCCUCCUCCAUCCCCUUCCAGAGAGCGGCAUGAAUGUCUUAUCAGGCUUUCCCUAAAUCAUUAGGUUUAUCACACAGCUGUGACCAGCUAGAUCAUUCUAAUUAGAAAUUAGGCACUUCUCAUGUUGAAAUCUCUCCGAAAAGUAUCUCCAUAGAUCUCUCUCAGCAAAUGGGAAUUCUGCUGAAUGCCUGUAGUACGAUAUGCUUUUUAAAUAUCUAAGUUCUCUGUGCUCGGUAAUUAUUUCUAGAGAAGUGCGAGUUAUUGAAAAAGUCCUGUUGUUUUUUUUCUGGCAACAUGUCAGCUCUGUGUGAAUGACUAAAAGAAAGGAAAAGUCCACGUUGUCUUAACUAAGUGUUGCUUCUCCAGAAAACCAGUAAAAGUUUAAAGUGGCAGUGAGCUUACUGAUUUGUUCUGAGGUGUGUAUUUGGUUUACAUUUGGGGUGCUUCUCAAACUUUGGGAUGAAGGACCAUCUUGUUGGUGUUUUCCUCCUUUAUAGACUAAUACUUUAGUAAAACACGAUAAAAAUAAUUACUAGAAAAAUGAAAUGAGUACAAAGAUGUAAAAAUAAAAUCCUCAUUUAAAAAAAUGAAGUUUACAGACUUAUAAAUACUCUGUAAAUCUGCUAUAAAAGUUUCUAAACAAUACAGUAUCUCUACUUACCUCAUCAUGAACUAGUAGCUAUUUACAGACUGGCUCCAUCUAUGGACCACACUUUGAGAAACACAGUUUUAGAGUGUGUGUGUGCACUGUGUACUCUCGGCACGCGUUUGGAUGCAUUGGGUACAUUCAAAUUAUAGCAUAUAAUGUGGGUUAUAUAACAGCUUCAUAUGAUAAUUAAAUGCAUUUGGUGAGCUCUUUGGUAAAAAUGGAGUUUUUCUGGAAGUGACAUUCAAUACUUAAAUUGUAAACAAAUACAAAUAGUAUAUAUGUAAAUACUGUUAUCUGUUUUAAAACACAGUUGUCCAGUAAUACUUCUAAUGAAUAAAGUAGAAAGUGUUUUGUAAGUCACCUCUUCUUAGAUUCACACUCAAGUUUAAAUGGGCACAGAUAACUUUAGAUAGGAAAUGCAAAGUGUAUAUACAAAGUGUAUGAGACUUCUAGCGCUGAACAGUACAGUGUUUGUCAUGUGAAGCAUUAGAUAAGCGAGUUGUUAUUAUCAUACCUUCCUUGCCUCAGAGAACAAUUAAUUACAGGACUGAUCUUUGGUCCUAGUGAUCCACAGCCAUUUUCUUACUGUUUACAGAGUGAGGGAAAGUGUUUCCUACAAGUAACUCCACAUUCUUUAUGAGCAUUAGCAAAUUCUUAGGCUGAUUCUGACGCGAUGGAUUGCAGCUGUCUUCAUCCUUCUCUCCUGGAGACUGAGGCCCAUGAAGGCAGUCACCCCGAGUGGGACUUGUGCUCCGGGCUCUGUGUCCACCUGCAUGUCUGUCGGCCUGGCGGGGCAGCGUUGGCCUUCUUUCGCAAAGCCUUGGGAGGAAGUUCUGGGAAGUUUUAUUAUGGUUAGCCUCCUUCCUUUAGGAUGAGACUCCUGAUUGAAAAUGAUAAUGAGGUGUAGGAGAAGAUGUUCAGCCCCUUGAAGACCAGGCGUUAUUCCUGGCAGAGUGCCCAAGACAGCAGAGAUGCGGGAUGAGUUAAAGGAUUGCAGGGGGCCGGCCAUUCAGUAAAAGGCAAGUCGCCUUUAGAAGAAAAACUGGAUCACUACAAAGCACUUUCUUGUAUGUGACAAUUUCAGAAAGAGUGAGUGGCCUUGAGAGCAUUAACACGCACCUGUGGGUGAGCGCUGUAGGUGGGGGAGAGAGCAGGCACUGGCCUGGCUUGCUUAUUAGAAGCAUGUCUCCUGGUCUGAACAACAGCCUAAGGACAGCUUUCUUGAAGGUUACAAAGUGAGGUCUGUGAGUCAGAGGCCGGUGGACUUGGGAUUGCUGUUUAGAUGGUAGAACUUCUGAGAGGAAGGGCCACUCUCCAGAAGGCACGGGCAGCUGAGGGUGUCUUCACUCAGGCCAGAGCACUCGAGGCAGGCAGGACUUAAAAUCCAACCCGUUCCCCAAAGCUCAUGGUCUGAGAUGGGAGAUCGUUGUUUCUUUGAAAUCCCUGCUGGAAUCACAGCAGGUAUUUUGUUAAGAAAUGUGUACUCCAACAGCAAUGCUCAUAAUCCGAGCAAAUUUCUUUUAAAUUAGUCCGGUUGCACUCAGGCAUGGCUGCAUGUGAUGAAAUUGAGCCAUGGAAAAACUUGGGCUGGGAAAUCCACAUUCCUCCACUUGAUUCUAGAGAGAAAAGCAGUGGCAGCUCCAUCACUGUGGUCAUUUAACACAGUCCAAGCGCUUCGCCACAUGUCACCAAACAGGCAGAAAGGCUCUGUGUGUGACAAGGAAGGAAACAGCGUUUUGAAAGCACACGCAGUUCUACCAAAAUUGUGCAUGUUCCCCUUUCUCCAGCGGGGUUCUUUUCAUCAUUCCAAGUGUGUUCAAGCUGUGCUCUAUGACACCUUUACCUGUUUGGGUCAUAGCAUUGUCAGUGUUUUCUUGGGCUUUAAAAAUAAAUCUCUUUGGGGGAGGGAAGUUGAACCUGCAUGGUAACACGAUAGGCAUGUGAAUGCAAGCACACCAGCAGAAAGUCAGAAUCCUGGUUUCCAUGGUAACGUUUAACUUGUCUGUGUUGUACACAUUUCUCAAGAAAUACAUUCAACAGACUCCCCAGUGAUAAAAAUUGCUCCACCGGCACACAAAGGUAGAUUUCCCAAUGAAUUCCUCUGUUGUAACCAGCCCUGGGCAGGGAACUCGAGUCUGAGUCCUGCCCUCCUCCUCAUCUGCGUCUUCUUUUUUUCGGUGGAAAUUCGUUUCUGUGGGAUUGAUUCCAUCUCCUUC
This is an RNA transcript of Hippopotamus amphibius kiboko, 8697 nucleotides long. It is a transcript of the gene named SERTA domain containing 2, with no coding region annotated. The transcript is spliced from 2 exons. Lineage: Eukaryota; Metazoa; Chordata; Mammalia; Artiodactyla; Hippopotamidae. The record is from RefSeq and is a predicted model, not a curated record.